RNAcentral lists this ribosomal RNA (233 nucleotides) under uncultured bacterium. Its description in RNAcentral is "partial 16S ribosomal RNA". It matches the Rfam family "Bacterial small subunit ribosomal RNA", at positions 524 to 753 of the family's 1533-position model. The record is from RNAcentral.
UACGGAGGGUGCAAAGCGUUAUCCGGAUUCACUGGGUUUAAAGGGUGCGUAGGUGGCUAUUUAAGUCAGUGGUGAAAGCCCGCGGCUCAACCGUGGAAUUGCCAUUGAAACUGAAUAGCUUGAGUACAGUUGAAGUGGGCGGAAUACAUCAUGUAGCGGUGAAAUGCUUAGAUACUGAUGUAGAACACCGAUUACGAAGGCAGCUCACUAAGCUGUAACUGACGACUGAGGCA